AGAGUUUGAUCCUGGCUCAGAUUGAACGCUGGCGGCAGGCCUAACACAUGCAAGUCGGACGGUAGCACAGAGGAGCUUGCUCCUUGGGUGACGAGUGGCGGACGGGUGAGUAAUGUCUGGGGAUCUGCCCGAUAGAGGGGGAUAACCACUGGAAACGGUGGCUAAUACCGCAUAACGUCGCAAGACCAAAGAGGGGGACCUUCGGGCCUCUCACUAUCGGAUGAACCCAGAUGGGAUUAGCUAGUAGGCGGGGUAAUGGCCCACCUAGGCGACGAUCCCUAGCUGGUCUGAGAGGAUGACCAGCCACACUGGAACUGAGACACGGUCCAGACUCCUACGGGAGGCAGCAGUGGGGAAUAUUGCACAAUGGGCGCAAGCCUGAUGCAGCCAUGCCGCGUGUAUGAAGAAGGCCUUCGGGUUGUAAAGUACUUUCAGCGGGGAGGAAGGCGAUGGGGUUAAUAACCUUAUCGAUUGACGUUACCCGCAGAAGAAGCACCGGCUAACUCCGUGCCAGCAGCCGCGGUAAU
This 527-nucleotide ribosomal RNA is filed under the name uncultured endophytic bacterium. RNAcentral's name for it is "bacterial SSU rRNA". It matches the Rfam family "Bacterial small subunit ribosomal RNA", at positions 8 to 524 of the family's 1533-position model. The record is from RNAcentral.